RNAcentral lists this ribosomal RNA (253 nucleotides) under uncultured bacterium. Its description in RNAcentral is "partial 16S ribosomal RNA". It matches the Rfam family "Bacterial small subunit ribosomal RNA", at positions 524 to 776 of the family's 1533-position model. The record is from RNAcentral.
UACGUAGGUGGCGAGCGUUAUUCGGAUUUAUUGGGCGUAAAGGGUUCGUAGGCGGCUAAGUAAGUUUGAUGUGAAAUCUCCAGGCUCAACCUGGAAACUGCAUUGGAUACUGCUUGGCUAGAGUACUGGAGAGGUAAGCGGAAUUCCUGGUGUAGCGGUGGAAUGCGUAGAUAUCAGGAGGAACACCGACGGCGAAGGCAGCUUACUGGACAGUAACUGACGCUGAGGGACGAAAGCUAGGGUAGCGAACAGG